CUCUUCCUCCUCCUCCUCCUCCUCCCCAGCUCCUGCUCCAGACAAUCUGUUAAAUCUCUCCUGCGGAGAGAUAAGGACUGAUGCAGCUGAAAUUCCCUGCUGUGGAAGAAGUUACUGUGAUGGCUGUGUGAGAACAGCAUUGCUGGAAUCAGAGGAACACACCUCCCCAGCGUGCCAUCAGACAGGUGUUUCUGCUGGUUCUUUAAAUGCCAACCAGCUCCCAGGCCAGGCUGUGAAUGACCUCCAAAGUGGCAAAUCCACCCGGGAACUAAAGCUCCGUUCACGGCCAAGGUUUCCAGGUGUGAGGGAUGAGCCCGUGAAAGCAGAUUCUGUGCUUUUCAAACCAAAAGCAAGAACUCGUAAGAGAAAGAGGAAAGCAAAAGUGACUGCAGGAAGGCAAUUCAACCAAACCAGCUCGAGCUUCCCGAGACAAAGCGGGCACCGACCAUGAAAAACGUCCUUGAAUGGAACCUCCCGUGAAGGAGGCAAAGGAGGAGAAGCCAACCUUGUGUUCUCAAUUCAUCUCCAUAUUAUGCCUUGUAAAGCAUUUCUGAACAAUAAACAAU
Molecule: long non-coding RNA, 566 nt
Organism: Empidonax traillii (willow flycatcher)
Lineage: Eukaryota; Metazoa; Chordata; Aves; Passeriformes; Tyrannidae
Exons: 4
Source: RefSeq, a predicted model, not a curated record